UUGCUUUACAACCCACUGGCACCAGGCCGUCUGCAUCAGUUACUGGACACCGGAGCUAUUCUGAACACCUCUUCCGAUGCACACCAUCCCAGUGUCCGGUCUCCAUGUGGAAGUCUGCAAGCCAAGGUCACCAGGUCGCAUUCCUCCAGCUCUUUGGCAUUCUGCCCCAGGGUUCAAGUAGUGUUGAAUUGUGUGUGUGUCUGUGUGUGUGUAUGUGUGUGUGUGUGUGCGUGUGUGCGUGUGUGUGUGUGUGUGUGUGUGUGUGUGUGUGUGUGUGAGCUGUUUGUCUUUCAUGCCACAAACUACAUUCUGUUAGAGGAGAACUGUUGCCACAUAGUUCUGUACUGGCGACAGCUAGAGGUACACACACACACACACGCACACACACACACACACACACACACACACACACACACACACACACACACACACACACACACACACACAAGCUGUGUAGAUGUGUGUGUGAGUGUGCACCUUACAUUUGUAAAGCUCUGUAUUUCACUGUAUGUGAUAUACAGAGCUUUAAAAGGACAAGUUACACAGUAGCAUGAUUAAUGUGGCUGUGUCCGCGCAUACUAUCAACAGUGCUGGUUGGCUGUUGGUGGAAGUGAGCGCUAUGAGAAACUGCUGUUUGCUUGGGGGUGGACACUGAUCCCUCGGGAUCAAUUGCAGAUGGACAUAUUUUAAGUCUAUCUGGUUGAUUUAGUCUCUGUGCACUUGACACUUGAGCACACCAGCGGAAGUGAAGGCAGUCAGUUCAGCACUAUAGUGUGAGAAAUUCAACACAGUUUGGCUGGUAAAACAAAUCCAGCUGAACUCCACCAGAGGCAGAGAAAAACAGACUAGAGAAGUAUAUGUUUUUAUCAAGUGAAUUUUAAAAGUAAUCAAUUUGAUAAGACAUCAUUAAACUUAAAAUAGCUUUUAUAAAAUAGUUCACAAAGUAUAGUUCAACACAAAACUUAAGCAAGUGCACUUCACUGCUUCAACAAUCCAGAAACUGCUAAUGCAAAAACUUACAUGAAAAUUUAACCAAACAGCUUCAAAGGUAACACUGGAUAAGCACAUUGCAUAAGAAAGGAGUAUUUCCUCCAGGCUGUUUCUUUGAAUAGAUUAGUUGAGGAGAAGAUAAGACCCUGUGCUGGUUUUAUCGUAUUCCCUGACCAGCAUGUAGAGUAGGCUGGAUCAGUCUGAUCAGCCCACAGAUGAAGACACGGGCAUCAGAUCUUUGCCUUCCUGGAGAGAGUGAGACCAGGGAUUUGUGGGCCUGUAACACAAAACAUUUUCUCCUUUCCCUCUGAUUCCAUGAGCUGUGCAAGUUAUUCAUCAGUGACAUCAAUUCCACUUUGAAGGUGUGAUUUUCCAUUUAAAUUUUUAUCAUUUUACGUGUUCAAGUACGACUGAUGCAGGUAGAUUGAGUGAAACAUGAGUGUUGAAACCCAACUUACUCAUUUUUGCCACUAAAGUCACAUUUAUUUCAAUUAUGCAUGCUAAUUUAUAAUGAAAAUGUCAUUUUAAAAAUUUAGCAUUUAGCAUUGCUACAUACCUAUCACUAACAUGCAUAAUAGUUCAGUGUGAAACAUAUAGCAAUUUAUAUUAGGAACAUGUUAAUGUCACCAUUUUAAACUUCAUACUCAUUCACUGUCAUACUUUGUCCUUUUAACAACUCAUAUGUAUUGUGCUUUUGUUUUUGGAAAGCAUAGAAAAAACAUUAGACUUGUCUCAGCUAGUUAUUAAAGUCUUAAACUCUGUGUCUGGGCAACAGUAAAUUUCACCUUGUUGUUAGUGUUUCAUUACUCAUGUACAAAACUAGCACAGUGUCCCACUGGGAGAAAAAUCUGUCAUCACAGGAAAUUUAGUGAAAUCUUUAGAGUAGGUCUUAAAAUAAAAGCAGCCAUGCUUUCUGGGAGCUCGGGAUUUCCAGUGGUGUGCUAAUCAAGUAAAAACCAAACCAAACAACUGGUUAAAAAGUGAAGCUCUGUUCUAUUUAUAAAGGCAAGGACAUCCUAGUGACAGUGUUUCCAUCACCACUUUGGAGAUGAUGUUUGUGUGAAGCAGCUGGAUUUCAAUGCACUGAUCUAUUUUAAUCACUCUUAUAUCCUACACGCAGCGUUUAAAACUAUUUACCAGGAUGCAAACUGUCCAACCAACAGAAAAAGACGCAUAGCACCGAUCUUUAAGUAUUUCUCCCAUAAAUAAAAACAAUAGAUCUGUUGUAUUCAUGAAAGGAUGGGAAAAUCUAAACAAAAACAAUUCCCAUUUUCCAGAACUUCCCUGAAAUUCCAAGAGUCCUGCCGGAAAUCCAACAUGAGGCAACAUGCUGUCCCCCUGAAAGGGUCGUAGAGUGUGAAUAAGUCCACAGAGCAAACGUGGCCGUGGCUGACAGACGGACUGAGUCAGCGCCACAUUCCAGUGGAGUCAACCAUCCACUUUACCCUUCGCACACACACACGCACACACACACACACACACACACACACACCCACACACACACACACACACACACACACACACACACACACACACACACACACACGAUUCACCUCAAUAUUCUGGUUUUCCUUUGCCCCAACACGCAUACUGCACACUAUACAGGUGUACCGUUCUCUACAACCUGGCAAAAUAACUUACCUUUACACAAAUCCAAACCAUAUAUGAAAGUCCGUCUUGCACAUCAUUCUCUAAAAUUGCAUCUCCAUCUUAUUAUUACUAUCUUAAUGGAAAGAUAUGAAGUUUCAAAGCUUUUAGUUAUGGAAAGCAGCCCAUCCCUUGCCUUUCAUACUGCAUAACCUGUCCCCUUUUCUGUCUUUUCUCUCUGUUUCUCUCUGCUUUAUCCAGUUACCAAGAAAGCUAUCUGAUGGUAAAUAACUGUUGUGCCCCUGCACCCUCACACCCUGACCCGAUCAUGCAGUGGUAGGCAGGAGAGGCCCGCUGAUCACCUCUGACAGCCACCCAGGACUGAGCUCUGUGCAUCUCUCUGUGCGCAUUGAAAGUACAGCAGACUCUGUUGCUGCUACUAGCUGUAUGAAUCCUGGGCUGACCUGAGUCAUCUGCUUACAUGCUCAAGCUGUCAGCCUGCUUUCUCAUAACAGCUUGCCAGUAAAUACAGUUUUGUCCAUCAGGAGUUUUUUUUAAAGUAAAGCUUACGAUGACAAAAAGUACUAACAUCACCAUAACAUACCAUAUGGGAUUCUUAUACAUGCCAACAUAUAUGCGCAUGACAUUUUGUUUCAGAGUCCUGGCCAAUUAAUGUGCAGCUGUAGCAGUCUUCACUCUUCCGGGAAGGCUUUUCACAGGAUUUUAGAGCUCAGCUGUGGGGAUUUGUUCAGUCACAAGACGAUUUGUCAUGUCUGCCAAGCACUGAUGUUAGCUCAUCGAACCUGGCAAAUAUAUCAUAAAAAUGUUAGAUGAAAAUGCAGUCAGCACUAGCCAGUAAAAGUUAAAAAGUUGGGUGUUAAUAAACUUUGUGUACAGAUAUUCCUUAAAACACCUCUCAUAUAUGUCUUUAAAUCAAUUUACAAUGAGCAAAAAAAUUUACUUAAUAUCCUUCAUACUGAUUUCUCUUUCUCUUGUCUCAGUGUGGAACAGUGCUGUAAAGGUGUGUGAUUAACUCUGUGAGUCAGAUGCAGGUGUUUUGCAAUUUAAGGAAGGCCUCUAAUGCCACCUUUUUUUUUUUUUUUUUUUACAAGUAUACAUCUUCACACGCAAGCCUACCGUCAGUCAGGAGGAGCCACAGCGUACAGGUUAUCAUUCAUCACACUGGAGACAGUCAGUGGGUCUGCAGCUGGAGCGUCUGUGUUUACACGCUGACAGAUUUAGACCAGGCUAGGGAUGUGAGUGAUCUCUCUCGUGGGGGUUUGCACUUACUAUGGUUGUGGAUAACAGCCACAGAUUAAAGCUGAAUUCAAUUAGAGAGUCAGAGAGGUUAAAUCAGGUCUUCAGAUAAGAUAAAAAGAAGACAUAAAGGUCUCUCUGAAGACCUACAGUACAUUAUACCUACUUUAGACUGGGAGAGUUUAAACAGAGUCCAGGGGCUUCAGUACAACCCGGAGCCCAUCUCUGUAUCACGGUGCUAGUUUGUCAUUUAGACAGCUAUUGCCAGUGCAUGAUAAUGGUGAUGACUGGUAUUGUCACUUGCCUGGAGUAAUGCAAUGUGGAUUUUCCUGUAAGGUCACCGGAGUGACGCAAAAGCUGUGUCUUAAAAGCACAAACUAAGUCAUCUAUCCAAAUAAAAUACAGGCUACACACAGUGAGUAACGCAUGUCAGGUGUGUGUGGGUUUUUUUUUUUUUUAACCUUGAUUUUGAAACAGAUUUGCAUCAAUAGUUUUGUUCACUGAGCAUGGCACGGC
Oreochromis niloticus (Nile tilapia) is the source of this 4350-nucleotide long non-coding RNA. Lineage: Eukaryota; Metazoa; Chordata; Actinopteri; Cichliformes; Cichlidae. The record is from Ensembl.